RNAcentral lists this ribosomal RNA (821 nucleotides) under Microbacterium pygmaeum. Its description in RNAcentral is "bacterial SSU rRNA". It matches the Rfam family "Bacterial small subunit ribosomal RNA", at positions 535 to 1354 of the family's 1533-position model. The record is from RNAcentral. Lineage: Bacteria; Bacillati; Actinomycetota; Actinomycetes; Micrococcales; Microbacteriaceae.
CAAGCGUUAUCCGGAAUUAUUGGGCGUAAAGAGCUCGUAGGCGGUUUGUCGCGUCUGCUGUGAAAACCCGAGGCUCAACCUCGGGCCUGCAGUGGGUACGGGCAGACUAGAGUGCGGUAGGGGAGAUUGGAAUUCCUGGUGUAGCGGUGGAAUGCGCAGAUAUCAGGAGGAACACCGAUGGCGAAGGCAGAUCUCUGGGCCGUAACUGACGCUGAGGAGCGAAAGGGUGGGGAGCAAACAGGCUUAGAUACCCUGGUAGUCCACCCCGUAAACGUUGGGAACUAGUUGUGGGGUCCAUUCCACGGAUUCCGUGACGCAGCUAACGCAUUAAGUUCCCCGCCUGGGGAGUACGGCCGCAAGGCUAAAACUCAAAGGAAUUGACGGGGACCCGCACAAGCGGCGGAGCAUGCGGAUUAAUUCGAUGCAACGCGAAGAACCUUACCAAGGCUUGACAUAUACGAGAACGGGCCAGAAAUGGUCAACUCUUUGGACACUCGUAAACAGGUGGUGCAUGGUUGUCGUCAGCUCGUGUCGUGAGAUGUUGGGUUAAGUCCCGCAACGAGCGCAACCCUCGUUCUAUGUUGCCAGCACGUAAUGGUGGGAACUCAUGGGAUACUGCCGGGGUCAACUCGGAGGAAGGUGGGGAUGACGUCAAAUCAUCAUGCCCCUUAUGUCUUGGGCUUCACGCANGCUACAAUGGCCGGUACAAUGGGCUGCAAUACCGUAAGGUGGAGCGAAUCCCAAAAAGCCGGUCCCAGUUCGGAUUGAGGUCUGCAACUCGACCUCAUGAAGUCGGAGUCGCUAGUAAUCGCAGAUCAGCA